AUCGAAAAAUCGACGUGCUGCUGAAAAUAAUGUUAAUGUUGAUCGAUCAUACUACCCCAAACUAGCAAACCGGCCCUAUGAUAUCAGUAACGGAGAGCAAGUAUUUUAGUCUAAUUUGUGUCAUGGCUUGCGUUUGAUCUAUUGCUCUCUUAUGCUUCCAUUAAUUUAAGUUCCAUUUUCUCUAGUGCUUGCUUUCAAAUUCCCAAAACCCCAGUAUCGGUAAGGGUAUAAAAUGUUCAUGCAUGUUUAGUUCUUUGUUAUGGAUGUCUAACUUUAAAAGUUUUGGUUCCGUAGCAGAUUCUCUAAAUUGGCUCCUCAACCAUUUUAGUGAGCUUGUUCAGUUUUUUUUAAUUAAUUUUACCAGCUCAAGCAAACUCUUAAAAUGUUAAAUUAAUAUUAUUCUUCAAAUGAAGAUUAAAUAGUUUAAAUGUAUUUAUAUAUCACAUAAUUUUUUUUAAAAGAAAUGUAUUAGAUUAUAAAGAGACUCAUCUCGAUCGCUCUUUAUAUUUAGAGAGCGAAAUAACUAAAAGUUAAAAUACAGAUCCUCAUCUCACUCAUCUCGUUUAAGAUAUAAGGUUUGGGGUUGUAGAAGCCUUAAGAUGAUUAAAAACUUGUUGCCGAUGCUCAUGUCGAUGUGGCUGUGAGAAAGACGAUGGAAUAGAGAGGGCGCCGGGGCACACAUGCGAUUUGAAUUGUAAUCAUUAUUAUUAUUAUUAUUAUUAUUAUUAUUAUUAUUAUUAUUAUUAUAUUGUUGGAUUUGGCAAGUUGAAGUGAUGAGACCAUUUUAACCCUGUAAAGUUAAUGGAUUUAAUGCCGUUAGUUGUUUCAGAUACUAAAGUUGGGUCGGGCUAAAAUUGAGAUACCCUUUUGAUAUUUUUUAAAGUUAAAAUCUUUAACAUAAUAGUUAGGCGAAGUUGAGAUAUCGUUUGUAUGAUUUUCUCUAUAUAACUAUAAAUUUACCUAGAAAUUAUGAAAAGACACAUUGCGCCCACUACUUCAAAAUCAAUAUGUUUUCUUAAAACCAAGAAGAUUACUUCUUGACUGCUUAUCAAAAAUAUAUCUCUUCCUAGCAAUUCCAGCCUUUCCAAGAACCACCACUCCUAACAGUUCGCCUUUCCAAGAGCCUCUUGCAAAGGAAACAAAAACUGUGAUUUCGUCAUGAUUCAGAAUUCAUCGUAGAAUAAAGGAGACGAAACCCACCAUAAUCCGGCCGGGAUCUCAUCUUUCUGCUCCCCAUUUGUAAUUCUCAUAAUCCAAAGAUCAAGUUCGUUCACAACCAUCUAUGUUGAUAAAAGGGUUUUCUAAGGUUGAGAAUUGAAGGGAUAUAUUGGUUGAGAAUUGAAGAAAUAUUUUAGGGUUUAGCUGGUUUCGCUAGGGCGAGUUAUAGGUUCGAAGAAACUUAGGAAAGCGCAACUUAACACCAUCUGAGUUUGGUGGUCUCGUUGUUCUCUUCCUAAUGAGCUGCAUGUGGAUGUUGAUCUUAACCCCUUAAAGACAUCUCCAACCAUUGACCUAAAACCUAAACCCAACUUCAAAUUUUAGGCCACUCACACAUAUUAUUGUUAUUCAUAGGUUUUGCAUCUCCAACCCAUGAAACCUAAACAUAAAGUUAUUAUUGUUAUUUAUUACUUUAUAUUAUUAUUCAAGUACUAUAUGAAUUUAAACCUUAAACAUAAUUGAUAGUGGAUAGUGGGCUCCAUGCUCCACUAAGCUCUUGAAAAAUAAGAUCCAGCCCCCUCUAACUAGUUGUCAUAAUAUGACAUUUUUUAGGUAAAUCCUAUUUUAGAUCAAAUUGAAUUGUAUUGGGAGAUGAUAUUUUGGAAAACUCAACCCUAUUUAGGGGGUAUUUGAUCCGCGGGACUACACGGGAUUGGACUGGAUUAUAUUGUAUAAUGAGACAUAGCCGGUGUUUGGUGGAAAUGAGAUUAUUUUUAAUGGACUUCGUAAACCCUGAGACGUCUCGAUACUGUCUUCCAGAACGACCUAAAAAUUGGUGGGUUUGUAGAAGCCUUUGUCAUAGACGUUGAAAUUCACGCGCCCAUUGUUUUUUUCUCCCCGCCUUCUCAGUCUAUCUCUCAACUUUUUAAUCUCUUCUCAUCGAUUAGUUGUAUAAAAAGAUUUCUGAUCGUUUAAUCAUCAAUUUCUCCAUCAAUCACCAUCUUCGUCUCUCUCCAAAUUAGUUAAAGAUCGGCCGUUACAGCUUCUGACUCCAUCUCAUAAUAUAAAUUACCCAGAAGUGAGAUCCGGAGAACAAAGGAACACCCCAACUAUUAUGAAUGAAAGAGAGGAAGCCCAGAUAGAUAAUAUUAGAUUGUAAGUUUUAUUCCAGAAUUAUUGAUUUGAUUUCGUUCUUACUUCUCCUUUCUAUUUCUUUCCUUAUUCUUUUUCCUCGGCAAUGCUAUAAGUUCGUUCUGGUAAACUGAAUUAUGGGCUGAUCUUGAUUGGAUUGGGAGGACCCAAAUGAUUUGAUUUUGCCAUCUUGUAAGUUGCAAGAUGUUUGUUUCAUAUUUUAGAUUGCGAUUUGGUGCAUGUCAAAGAAGGAAAAAGAGAUAUGGAUUU
This 2559-nucleotide long non-coding RNA is filed under the name Fragaria vesca (wild strawberry). RNAcentral's name for it is "long non-coding RNA (FVES_LNC000231)". The record is from RNAcentral. Lineage: Eukaryota; Viridiplantae; Streptophyta; Magnoliopsida; Rosales; Rosaceae.